GGAGGAGACGCAUCACAGAGAAGCGUGAGCGGUCCAGUCACCGUGUGCUUAACAUGUACAUGUUCAGACCCUUCACUGGUGCUCAAGUCACCUUCUCCCCGAAAUGCUCCUCUCUGUUGGCUUCCACUCUCAGCUUUCCCACCGGACCGAGUUUGGCGUAAAAGUCUCAGAACAUGAGGUCACUGGAGAGUCUGGGCAACCAAAGCACUGUGAAAUGGACAGAAAGCCCACAGGGACCACGGAACGUAGACUGUUGCAGAUGAAAAGGCCUGUGCGUCAUCAGUCAUGCGUCAUCUCAGGCGCUUCAUCCUGUAGAGAGGGGCAGAUUCGGACCCGCAUCCAGAGGUGAGUUCCUAAAACUCAGCCA
RNAcentral lists this long non-coding RNA (367 nucleotides) under Bos indicus x Bos taurus (hybrid cattle). Its description in RNAcentral is "lncRNA (ENSBIXG00005031096.1)". Lineage: Eukaryota; Metazoa; Chordata; Mammalia; Artiodactyla; Bovidae. The record is from RNAcentral.